CGCAAAUUGUAAGGUAACACAGGUGCUUCGGAUAAGUAAUUGAGCAGUUCUUUUAAGGCCUUUGAAACAAGACAAAAGUAGAACUAAAGGUAACCCAGUGCUAUGGAUCAGAAAACAGUUCAUAUAAUAUAAUACUCUUAUGUUGAAAAAUAUGAUAAAGUGUAUAAUACAUGGCAAAAUCCGUAUCACAUGCCGUAUCACCCUCGAC
RNAcentral lists this long non-coding RNA (208 nucleotides) under Mytilus galloprovincialis (Mediterranean mussel). Lineage: Eukaryota; Metazoa; Mollusca; Bivalvia; Mytilida; Mytilidae. The record is from RNAcentral.